RNAcentral lists this transfer RNA (69 nucleotides) under Marmota marmota marmota (Alpine marmot). It matches the Rfam family "tRNA". Rfam says of the family: Transfer RNA (tRNA) molecules are approximately 80 nucleotides in length. The record is from Rfam by way of RNAcentral. Lineage: Eukaryota; Metazoa; Chordata; Mammalia; Rodentia; Sciuridae. RNAcentral also lists the same sequence under 3 other names.
GGGGUUGUGGCUCAGUGGCAGAGAGCUUGCCUAGCAUGCAUGAGGUACUGGGUUCGAUCCUCAGCACCA